This is a small nuclear RNA of Loxodonta africana (African savanna elephant), 107 nucleotides long. The record is from Ensembl. NCBI's taxonomy places the organism in Eukaryota, Metazoa, Chordata, Mammalia, Proboscidea, Elephantidae.
GUGCUUGCUAUGGCAGCACAUAUACUAAAAUUGGAACGAUACAGAGAAGAUCUGCAUGGCCCCUGUGCAAGGAUGACAUGCAAAUUUGUGAAGCAUUCCAUAUUAUU